UGGGGAAUAUUGGACAAUGGGCGGAAGCCUGAUCCAGCAACGCCGCGUGAGGGAUGACGGCCUUCGGGUUGUAAACCUCUUUCAGUACCGACGAAGCGAAAGUGACGGUAGGUACAGAAGAAGCACCGGCCAACUACGUGCCAGCAGCCGCGGUAAUACGUAGGGUGCGAGCGUUGUCCGGAAUUAUUGGGCGUAAAGGGCUCGUAGGCGGUUUGUCGCGUCGGGAGUGAAAACACUGGGCUUAACUCAGUGCUUGCUUCCGAUACGGGCAGACUAGAGGUAUGCAGGGGAGAACGGAAUUCCUGGUGUAGCGGUGAAAUGCGCAGAUAUCAGGAGGAACACCGGUGGCGAAGGCGGUUCUCUGGGCAUUACCUGACGCUGAGGAGCGAAAGUGUGGGGAGCGAACAGGAUUAGAUACCCUGGUAGUCCACACCGUAAACGUUGGGCGCUAGGUGUGGGGUCCAUUCCACGGAUUCCGUGCCGCAGCUAACGCAUUAAGCG
Molecule: ribosomal RNA, 501 nt
Filed under: uncultured Actinomycetes bacterium
Lineage: Bacteria; Bacillati; Actinomycetota; Actinomycetes
Description: bacterial SSU rRNA
Rfam family: Bacterial small subunit ribosomal RNA
Source: RNAcentral